UACGUAGGCAGCGAGCGUUGUUCGGAGUUACUGGGCGUAAAGCGUGCGCAGGCGGUUUUGCAAGCCGGAUGUGAAAUCCCCGGGCUCAACCUGGGAAUGGCAUUCGGGACUGCAAGGCUGGAGUGCGGCAGAGGAGACUGGAAUUCCUGGUGUAGCAGUGAAAUGCGUAGAUAUCAGGAGGAAUACCGAUGGCGAAGGCAGGUCUCUGGGCUGACACUGACGCUCAUGCACGAAAGCGUGGGGAGCAAACAGG
Molecule: ribosomal RNA, 253 nt
Filed under: uncultured bacterium
Lineage: Bacteria
Description: partial 16S ribosomal RNA
Rfam family: Bacterial small subunit ribosomal RNA
Source: RNAcentral